UGCAACCUCACAGGGCUGGGCCUUCAACGUCAGCACUAUGGCUCUCUCCGGUCGCUCUCUCCUCCACCGCGCAGUCUGCGAACAGCACUUUCUACACUCCGCGCCGGCAAAAAGCCCUGCAGGUACCACCCACCUGUCAGAGGAGGCUUGCUGGAGUCGUGUUAUGAUGCGGAACACAUGUCAACAGAGACAGACAAGGGAAAACAACCUGGCCAUCUGAAAAUCAGGGCAUGAAAACCAUCCCGUGAAACAUGGCGCACACAGCCAAUCGUGUGGAUGGCGCAGGACUGGACAGCAUCUUGUUCUGUUGUGCAUGGGGCCGCCAUGGGGCCGCAACUGCCGUGAAGUCAAGGGCCAACUUGGCUUCGUGACACCAACAACACGAGGCUGUGCGUGGUCUGAGGCCAUGACAGUCUCCCCACAUUCAUUUGACAUCACGUUUCUCUCAGUCACGGCACUACAGUCAGUCAUUGCGCCUCAGCCCUGUGUACAAAUCAAGAGCUUUGCACUUACCAAGAACCAUAGUGCAGAACACCCACGGUAUCAUGGAUCUUAAUAAAGUCCAUACUUCAAAAAAAAGUCAGUACUUUCCCACGGCUAGGAAAAUGGCAUCCUGAAUCUUACAGAAAUGCAGGAGGGAUGAAUAGUGAUCUCACAAAGAGUGUCUACAUGCUUUGGACAUGUUAUCAGGAGAGACCUGCCCUUGGAGAAGGACUUCAUGCCUGGUAAUAUGGAGGGGCAGCUGAAAAAGAGACCCUCGGCGAGAUGGCUUGACACAGUGGCUGCGCAGCGAGCGCCAGCGUGAGGACAACUGGAAGGAUGGUGCAGGCGCAGUGGUGUUUCCUUCUGGUGUCGGAUAGGGCUGCUAGGAGCCUGCACUGACUCGAUGGCACCUAACAACAACAGCAAAUCUAGACGUACAAAAGUUGUUUCUUAGGGCUUGGGCACCCACCCAGAGGCCUUCCUGUCCAUUUAGAAAGGGAGCAACUACAUCCGACCUAGUAAUUUGACCUAACAGGAAAAAUGGGCCCACAUUUACCGCUCUCUUGACAGUGCCCGAAAAGGUGUCCAUUUCCACUAUAUUACAUCACUUCUGUCUAUCCAGACUUUGCAGCGACCAAAACUUAUUUGCUAUCCCCUAAGAAGACCAUCUUUGGGUUGGGUUGAAAGUUC
This is a long non-coding RNA of Echinops telfairi (small Madagascar hedgehog), 1173 nucleotides long. RefSeq lists it as uncharacterized. The record is from RefSeq and is a predicted model, not a curated record. NCBI's taxonomy places the organism in Eukaryota, Metazoa, Chordata, Mammalia, Afrosoricida, Tenrecidae. The transcript has 3 exons.